This 1537-nucleotide unclassified non-coding RNA is filed under the name Zea mays. RNAcentral's name for it is "misc RNA Zm00001eb394350". The record is from RNAcentral. Lineage: Eukaryota; Viridiplantae; Streptophyta; Magnoliopsida; Poales; Poaceae.
CUAGACUCGUCGUUCCACUUCUACCGUUCUACGGCACCGGACUCGCCGACUCAUCUCCCACUCCCAGCCUUAUCCUCUUCCUCGAUCGCAUGCAUGGUCCUCAUUCACAUACAAAGAGAUAGAGAAAAAAGAGAAAAGCUUGCGAGCGAUGGUGACUAUGUCUGGCACCCGCACCGCCCUGGCGCACGAGGGCUUGGAUUAUGGUCCCAGGCUGGUGGCGCCGCGCCGCAGCAGGCUAAGCGUCGUCGCCGUUGCGGUGCGGACCAGGCCGGCCAGCCUCGCAGUCCCGGGCCUCCCGCCCCCGACGCCGGAGCCCGUGCUGCCGUCGCCGCCCGUGGCCGCAGGCGUCGCGGCGGUGCUGCUCGAGGCGGGCGUGCCGCCCGCGGACCUCCGGCGCGCGGCGGGGAUGUGCCCGGAGCUGCUGUCCGUGCCCGCGGAGGCCGUCGCGGCCGCGCUCCGGUUCCUGACGGAGGAGGCGGGCGUCCCGGAGGCGGAGCUCCAGCGCGUGCUCCGGCGGCGCCCGCGCCUGCUCGUGUGCCCCGUGGCGGCGCGGCUGCGGCCCACGCUCUACUUCCUGCGCGCGCUCGGCGUGCCCGACCUGCACCGCCGCGCCGACCUGCUGUCCUUCUCCGUGGAGGACAAGCUGCUGCCGCGGAUCGAGUUCCUCGAGUCGCUAGGCCUGCCCGCGCGCGCCGCUCGCUCCAUGGCGCGCCGCUUCCCCGCGCUCUUCGGCUACGGCGUGGACGGGAACAUGCGGCCCAAGGCGGAGUACCUCCUGGGCGUGGGCGCCAUGGGCCGCCGCGCCGACGAGCUGUACGAGUUCCCCGAGUACUUCUCCUACGCGCUGGCCGCGCGCAUCGUGCCGCGCCACGAGGCGUGCGCCGCGAGCGGGGUCGCGAUGCCGCUGCCCGCCAUGCUCCGCCCCGGGGAGGCCAAGUUUCGCGCCACGCUCGAUAGCUGCGUCGGGUCCACGCUGCCCCGGAGGCGGUCGGCGCUGUGGCACGCCACGUGGGUGGACGACGACGCGACGGCGGCGAAGGAGACGAUGGUGUGACGUGCGCAUUAUAUUGGUGAACGGAGGCAUUAAUUCUUGCUUGGCUAUACUUGGUUGUGCUUAUAUAGCCAUGCAGGUGAUUGUUACCCUGAUCGUGUGAAUAUACACUCCUCCCAGAGGCUUGGGCGUCAGUCAAGAGCACUCUUUGUGGACAACUUUUCCCCCCAGUUCUACUAGUGGCCCAACCAUUCUUGCCAACCACCCAGGAAAAAUAAUCGGGGUGCGAUCAUCUGACCCAACCACUCUCUUGCCCUUCAAAUAAAGCAGCACGAUCCACCCUCCACCUCAUCCUCGCCACAACACAACCGCCAAAGCACUAGUAUUACGGUACGUGACAGAAAUAAACAAAUGCACACCGGCUUUGCUUUGUGGCCUUUUGUGCAUAAUAGGUGUUUGCCGAACGAAUUGGACGAGUGAAUGAGUGAUACAUAUUUUACAUAUAAUCGUACACUACGAUGACACACGAUUAUAUUUGCCCCUGCC